ACAGAACUCUCUGUUAAAUACUCAAGGAUAUGGCAUAACAUAGUGCUAAGGUGGCGCACACAUUGAUAAAAGCAUGAAAACAUAAUGUAAAAAGCAGCAGAGAGUUUGAUCACUCAAGAAUGUCAUAACAUGGUGCUAGGGUAGCGCAAACAUCGCGAUCACGGAGUUGCCACAUUUUCCUUGGACAUAGGAGCGAUUUCCUCUCCGUCAAUCCCUGGUUCGCUGCCAUGGACUCCUAGAUCGAGGAGCAAUUCUUCCCACUUCUUCGCAGGUCCCUUCCAUGAAAGGUCUUGAGCCAUGCAAUUCUGAACCAUUUCGCUGAAAGCAGGAGUUCCAUAGACCUUAAGAGCCUUCUUCACAGUUUUAACAGUCGCCACCACAUCCACUGGAUCAAUAGCUUCACAAUUAACAGUGAAGGCGCCCAUGUGGAAUCCAGUGAAUCCUUCCUUGACUGUGUCUACAAGACCACCUGUGGUCGAACAAAUGACCGGCAUCCCAUAUUGCAUGCCUUCAAGUUGAAUAAGCCCACAUGGCUCAAAUCUACUAGGAACUAUGAUAAGAUCACCUCCAGCCAUCAUCAUAUGUGCUAAGGGAAUAUUGAAUUUCGCAAUUCCUCUCGCCUUGUCCGGGUACUUUUCUUCUAUUUCUUCGACCUGUUUUUCAAAGAUUUUCUUGCCGGUUCCGAGAAUUAUUAUCUGCACAUUCUCAUCAAUGAAAUCUGGAAUUGCUGCAGCGAGAAUGUCUGAGCCUUUCUGCUCCUCUAGCCUUCCUACGAAGACUAUCACUGGAAUGUCUGGGUCUACAGGCAAGCCAACUUCUGCUUGUAGUGCUUGUUUAUUGACACGCUUCGCCUCCGUUACCGUUGUCGCAUCAUAAUUGGCAGUGAUAUACUUGUCUGUCAAUGGAUUCCAAAAAUUAAUAUCCAUCCCAUUCACAAUCCCUUUGAUGCCAAUCAUGGUUAUAUCUUUGUCCAACUCAACACCUUUAUCUUCUCCAGAGACGAGCUCUUUAGCAUAGUAUGGGCUCACAGUUACAACGGCAUCGGCUUCUAAAAUUCCAGCCCUCAUCCAGUUUAUUUUUCUCCCCUUCACGGGUUUUAAAUAUCCAUCGAAGAAAUCAAAUGAGGAUUUGAAUUUGUCCGGGAGAUUGAGAAGUGAGAAAUCAGCGAAGGGGAAUCUGCCUUGAUAGGCAAUGUUAUGAAUGCAGAAGGCAACCUUGGCACUCUUAUAAAUGCCAACUGACUGGUACAUACUCUUUAAGUAGCAUGAAAGAGGCCCGGUGUGCCAGUCAUUAGCAAUGAAAACUACAUCUUCCCCAUAUGGUCCAGAAAAGUAUUCGCUGUUAUUGAGAUUCAGGACUCUCGGAGCCUCCAAAGCUGCCAGACACAAAAGGCUGAACCUCAGCUGGUUGUCAUCAUAAUCAGUUCCCGUAACAGGACCAUACAAUUUUCCACCAGUUUUCCCCCAUACCUUCUCAAGAAACCACGGAUGAUCAAUAAAUACUCGAUCGACUCCUCUCUUAUAGAGGUGAAAGUAUCGCACAGUUUCAAUUUUAUCCCCGACUUUGAACUCAGCCACAACACCAGUGUCCCAUGCAUCUUUAUACUGAUCAUACCGCGGAGUCACAACCAUAACUCGAUGUCCUCUUGCCGCCAUUGCGGGCGGUAGUCCUCCGAGGACAUCUCCGAGGCCGCCAGUCUUGCUGUGAGGCCCCGUCUCGGUCCCGACAUACACCAAGUUCAUCCCUGUGCUACAAGUGAUAGCUCCCGCACAAUUCACCGCUCUUCCACAUUGUCUAGGGGUUGAUCUUGUGGUAGCUCUCAUCUGCAGAGAAUCCACUGGCUUCAGUCGCCUCAACCCUUGGUGAGCAGCUGACAGGGGUGUCAGAUUCGGUAUCAAGAAUGUUCUUGGCCUCCAUUCAAGAGCUCCCUGUUGGUAGCUCUUGAUCAUGAAAUGCGGAGUCGCCGACGCAGCCAUUAUUUGCCUCGGCUUAUGGGAGUUGGU
RNAcentral lists this unclassified non-coding RNA (2003 nucleotides) under Hevea brasiliensis (rubber tree). Lineage: Eukaryota; Viridiplantae; Streptophyta; Magnoliopsida; Malpighiales; Euphorbiaceae. The record is from RNAcentral.